This 253-nucleotide ribosomal RNA is filed under the name uncultured bacterium. RNAcentral describes it as "partial 16S ribosomal RNA". It matches the Rfam family "Bacterial small subunit ribosomal RNA", at positions 524 to 776 of the family's 1533-position model. The record is from RNAcentral.
UACGUAGGGUGCAAGCGUUGUCCGGAAUUAUUGGGCGUAAAGAGCUCGUAGGCGGUUUGUCGCGUCGAGUGUGAAAACCCGGGGCUCAACCCCGGGCCUGCAUUCGAUACGGGCAGACUAGAGUUCGGUAGGGGAGUCUGGAAUUCCUGGUGUAGCGGUGAAAUGCGCAGAUAUCAGGAGGAACACCGGUGGCGAAGGCGGGACUCUGGGCCGAUACUGACGCUGAGGAGCGAAAGCGUGGGGAGCAAACAGG